UACGUAGGGGGGCAAGCGUUGUCCGGAUUUAUUGGGCGUAAAGAGCGUGUAGGCGGUUUGGUAGGUCCGCUGUGAAAACUCGAGCUCAACCUCGAGACGCCGGUGGAAACCAUCAGACUAGAGUCCGGAAGAGGAGAGUGGAAUUCCUGGUGUAGCGGUGAAAUGCGCAGAUAUCAGGAAGAACACCCGUGGCUAAGGCGGCUCCUACUAC
RNAcentral lists this ribosomal RNA (211 nucleotides) under uncultured bacterium. RNAcentral's name for it is "partial 16S ribosomal RNA". It matches the Rfam family "Bacterial small subunit ribosomal RNA", at positions 524 to 735 of the family's 1533-position model. The record is from RNAcentral.